This 119-nucleotide ribosomal RNA is filed under the name Vitis vinifera (wine grape). Lineage: Eukaryota; Viridiplantae; Streptophyta; Magnoliopsida; Vitales; Vitaceae. The record is from RNAcentral.
AGGUGCGAUCAUACCAACACUAAUGCACCGAAACCAAUCAAAACUCCGUAGUCAAGCGUGCUCGAGCGAGAGUAGUACUGAAAUGGGUGAACUCUUGGGAAGUCCUCGUGUUGCACCCC